GAUGAACGCUGGCGGCGUGCCUAAUACAUGCAAGUCGAGCGAACAGACGAGGAGCUUGCUCCUCUGACGUUAGCGGCGGACGGGUGAGUAACACGUGGAUAACCUACCUAUAAGACUGGGAUAACUUCGGGAAACCGGAGCUAAUACCGGAUAAUAUAUUGAACCGCAUGGUUCAAUAGUGAAAGACGGUUUUGCUGUCACUUAUAGAUGGAUCCGCGCCGCAUUAGCUAGUUGGAAAGGUAACGGCUUACCAAGGCAAAGAUGCGUAGCCGACCUGAGAGGGUGAUCGGCCACACUGGAACUGAGACACGGUCCAGACUCCUACGGGAGGCAGCAGUAGGGAAUCUUCCGCAAUGGGCGAAAGCUUGACGGAGCAACGCCGCGUGAGUGAUGAAGGUCUUCGGAUCGUAAAACUCUGUUAUUAGGGAAGAACAAAUGUGUAAGUAACUAUGCACGUCUUGACGGUACCUAAUCAGAAAGCCACGGCUAACUACGUG
RNAcentral lists this ribosomal RNA (497 nucleotides) under uncultured bacterium. RNAcentral describes it as "partial 16S ribosomal RNA". It matches the Rfam family "Bacterial small subunit ribosomal RNA", at positions 28 to 507 of the family's 1533-position model. The record is from RNAcentral.